GCACGGUGGUGCUAUGGAUAGCACUAUUGCUUCACCGCAAGAACAUCCCAGGUUCGAAUCCUGGCCCGGGCC
Molecule: transfer RNA, 72 nt
Filed under: Anguilla anguilla (European eel)
Lineage: Eukaryota; Metazoa; Chordata; Actinopteri; Anguilliformes; Anguillidae
Description: tRNA-OTHER
Source: RNAcentral